Molecule: ribosomal RNA, 467 nt
Filed under: uncultured bacterium
Lineage: Bacteria
Description: partial 16S ribosomal RNA
Rfam family: Bacterial small subunit ribosomal RNA
Source: RNAcentral
GAUGAACGCUGGCGGCGUGCUUAACACAUGCCAGUCGAACGGAAAGGCCCAAGCUUGCUUGGGUACUCGAGUGGCGAACGGGUGAGUAACACGUGGGUGAUCUGCCCUGCACUUCGGGAUAAGCCUGGGAAACUGGGUCUAAUACCGGAUAGGACCACUUCUUGGAUGUUGUGGUGGAAAGUUUUUUCGGUGUGGGAUGAGCUCGCGGCCUAUCAGCUUGUUGGUGGGGUAAUGGCCUACCAAGGCGUCGACGGGUAGCCGGCCUGAGAGGGUGUACGGCCAAAUUGGGACUGGGGUUAGGCCCAGACUCCUACGGGGGGCAGCAGUGGGGAAUAUUGCACAAUGGGCGGAAGCCUGAUGCAGCGACGGCGGGUGGGGGGUGAACGGCUUCGGGUUGUAAACUCCUUUCGCCAGGGACGAAGCGUUUUGUGACGGUACCUGGAGAAGAAGCACCGGCUAACUACGUG